AUUGAACGCUGGCGGCAGGCCUAACACAUGCAAGUCGAACGGUAACAGGAAGAAGCUUGCUUCUUUGCUGACGAGUGGCGGACGGGUGAGUAAUGUCUGGGAAACUGCCUGAUGGAGGGGGAUAACUACUGGAAACGGUAGCUAAUACCGCAUAACGUCGCAAGACCAAAGAGGGGGACCUUCGGGCCUCUUGCCAUCGGAUGUGCCCAGAUGGGAUUAGCUAGUAGGUGGGGUAACGGCUCACCUAGGCGACGAUCCCUAGCUGGUCUGAGAGGAUGACCAGCCACCAUGGAACUGAGACACGGUCCAGACUCCUACGGGAGGCAGCAGUGGGGAAUAUUGCACAAUGGGCGCAAGCCUGAUGCAGCCAUGCCGCGUGUAUGAAGAAGGCCUUCGGGUUGUAAAGUACUUUCAGCGGGGAGGAAGGGAGUAAAGUUAAUACCUUUACUCAUUGACGUUACCCGCAGAAGAAGCACCGGCUAACUCCGUG
Molecule: ribosomal RNA, 490 nt
Filed under: uncultured bacterium
Lineage: Bacteria
Description: partial 16S ribosomal RNA
Rfam family: Bacterial small subunit ribosomal RNA
Source: RNAcentral